RNAcentral lists this long non-coding RNA (1182 nucleotides) under Parus major (Great Tit). RNAcentral's name for it is "lncRNA (ENSPMJG00000013616.1)". Lineage: Eukaryota; Metazoa; Chordata; Aves; Passeriformes; Paridae. The record is from RNAcentral.
AGGAUUUUCAUUAUUAAUAAGAUGAAAUGUAAGGCUUCUAAUUAAGCGGAAAACAAACCAGUGUAAACUACACCCAGAACACACAAACCUAUUAGGUUUUAAAUUUAAUAAUAAAUCAUUUAUCUAAAGCCCGGCUGAUUUGUUGCAUGAUGUUACUUGAUAAGGGUUUAUUUCAUUUUUGCAAUUUUUCUUCCUUCUAUUCUUAGUAUUCUUAUACCAAAACAACAGUAAGUUUGGGGUUUGAACCCCUGUGCUGAAAUGCAGCUAUUCAAUAUGAUUAUCAGGUGACAAACAAGAGUAUCAUUCAUUUGGGAGGGCUAAUUUAAAAGUAAAAUGCAAUGUCUAAUAGCAAUAGAGCACUAAGUUAGAACUGCACUGUUGGACUGUAAAAACAAAAAAUACUAGAGAAAAGAAAUUACAAAUUUCAUCCAGAAAAAUGCUAAAUAGCCCUUGCCCUUGGGAACCUUCAGAACCAAGUAAGCAGUGACUUCCAAAGGAUUUUAAAUACUAUCUAAUGUGGAAUUUGCCACAUGGAGACAAUUACUCAGGGAAAACCUUUGAAAGUUAAAGUAGUACCUGCCUAAAAGUGAUGUAACUUGGCUCUGCCUGUCUGAAGCAAUUACUGUUUCAUAACAAACUAAUUACCAACUAUGAGCAUUAUACAUAAUUCUGCUCAGUUACUUGUAUGAAACAUAGGUGACUGCAAGGUACCACACAUGCAGCUGAAGCUGUGUAGUAACUCUUUUUUCUGUGAUCUUUGAGUAGAAAAUAGCUGUUCAUAAUUGGUGACCAACUAUCAGUCAACAGAUUCUAUUUCACUUAUUCUGCCACGUUUUCAUAGCUCCACAAAUCCUCAUUUUAAAGUGAACAUUUUUCCUAUUAUCACCUGUUAAUAGAUCUUAUAUAAUCUAGGGAAAGACACUCAUGGCUUCUGUUUUUUCUGACAGACAAGGAUACCAAAGGAUCUUGCAACAUGUUCUAGAGAAUAUGGUCACAAGUGCUCUGUUCAAAGUUUCUCAAGCACCAAAUAGACAGCAGUGCCAGUGGUUGACCAAGCGUUGCUAUCUUCUGAACAAUGAAGUCUGGUUUUGUUUACAAGGUAAUGAAUUCCAAAGGAAAGUGACAACAACAGGUUUAAAAGUGAUUUUUCCUGUUUUUUUCCAAAUAGUUUCCAGCAAUUAA